Molecule: ribosomal RNA, 253 nt
Filed under: uncultured bacterium
Lineage: Bacteria
Description: partial 16S ribosomal RNA
Rfam family: Bacterial small subunit ribosomal RNA
Source: RNAcentral
CACGGGGGGAGCAAGCGUUGUUCGGAAUCACUGGGCGUAAAGGGCGUGUAGGCGGUCAGGUAAGUGAGAUGUGAAAUGCCCCGGCUCACCCGGGGACCGGCAUCUCAUACUGCUUGGCUUGAGUACGGGAGAGGAUGUGGGAAUUCCUGGUGUAGCGGUGAAAUGCGUAGAUAUCAGGAGGAACACCGGUGGCGAAGGCGGGUCUCUGGGCCGAUACUGACGCUGAGGAGCGAAAGCGUGGGGAGCGAACAGG